CCGUGGGCCUGCCUUUGAAACCGUAUGACUUGAGGGCAGGAGAGGGGAGUGGAAUUCCCGGUGUAGCGGUGAUAUGCGUAGAUAUCGGGAGGAACACCAGUGGCGAAGGCGGCUCCCUGGCCUGUUUCUGACGCUGAGGCGCGAAAGCGUGGGUAGCGAACGGGAUUAGAUACCCCGGUAGUCCACGCCGUAAACGAUGGGUGCUAGGUGUAGGAGGUAUCGACCCCUUCUGUGCCGUAGCUAACACAAUAAGCACC
Molecule: ribosomal RNA, 257 nt
Filed under: uncultured bacterium
Lineage: Bacteria
Description: partial 16S ribosomal RNA
Rfam family: Bacterial small subunit ribosomal RNA
Source: RNAcentral